Molecule: non-coding RNA, 3634 nt
Organism: Anas platyrhynchos (mallard)
Lineage: Eukaryota; Metazoa; Chordata; Aves; Anseriformes; Anatidae
Source: RefSeq, a predicted model, not a curated record
UUCUCCUACAAUGUGAAAAAUAAAGGAACAAAGAUGCAGUUAAUGCCCAUGCACUUGAUGCAAUGAUGUACUUCUGUGUGCCUGGCUGUAUGUGACUCAGAGGCAAGAUACCAGGGACAUUUGGCAGGUCAAUGCUCAUUUGAGAGGAUGAACAUGCAUUACGUGUGGUCUGAGCUGUUCAAGCAGACCCUCACCACCUUACAGACACACAAAGAAGUUCCAGGACUAAGCAGGCAGAAGCAUCCUCCUGGAAACCCAAUUCCAAGCCUGGAUGGAGGACCCUGUCAUGGCACCAUCCAGCUGCACGCACAGAGCAGCAUCAGGAUGGGACCAGCAAUCGGUGAGACUUUUCCUGGGCAUGGACCACUCGACUCACAGCACAAACAAAACCACUCAAAUUACCUGCUUCAGUUCCUUGACUUCAUCUUUCAGUGCAUAAACUGUGUCAACGAGGCUCCUGCAAAAAAAAAAUAUGCAAAAACUCAAAAACCAAACUAAAACAGAACGAGCUGAAGUGCAGUAAAACAGCAACAACGUGGGAGCUUUUGUGACUGAAGCACUUAUGGGGAAGGUGCUUCCAGCUCCCUUUUCUCCACUGCCAAUUGCAGGCAUUGGGCUGCCACUGGCACUGUUACCUAUGAAGUCACUCUGGAAACAGAGCCCAGGAGCAUUUAUGGACUACCAGCCAAAAAUUCAGGGCUCUUUUCUCAACACUGAAGGAAAAAAAAAAAAAAAAAAGCAAACCAAGCAACCUUGUUCUGCUCUCUUUAAGUUAACAACAAAGGUCUGUGGCUUUGGCUUCCUUGUUUAUGCUACUGCAAAAAAAAAAAAAGUUUUAAAAUUGAAGUGCCUGAGUAUCUUUUGUUAAAUGGCCCUGAUUCCUUGAGGUUGUGCUUGGAGAGGAAAAAAAAAAAACAAGGAAUGCAUUGCCUGGGUUAGAAAAGGAGGGGACCAACGUAAUAACCCAGAUGCUGAAGCGUUAAGUGCUAUGGAGCAGACUGGGAGCACUCACAGGCAGCAUCACACAGCCUCACGAGGGGUAGCAGCAGCCUGCUAUGUCUGUAGCUUAAAAAAAAAAAAACACUUGUUUGGUUCUGUCCUCCCUGACCCAGUUCAAUACAUCCGGAGAGGCUCUGGGACGCAAUAAAUGCUCUCAAGACCCAGGCACAGGCUCCCAGGAGGCUGCAGCCAUGUCAGAGCAGCUGGGAAUGUGACUCUGUUCUCGAAAAGGGACAAAAUAGCAACUGGAAUAGCCCGGCAUUUCUGGCACAGCCAGGAUAAGGCUCCUGACCACUUCUGUGGGCAGACGACGGAGAGGGCACUGUUUUUUAACCAUCCUUCCAAAAAGUGACAGGGGAAUCUGCAGCCUUGCUUACUUUUCCUCGGUGACAGUCUGGCCAUUGCUUCUUGUUUCCUCGAUGAUGAUUUUCUCUUCCUCAGGAAGAAGGACUUGGGGGAUGGAGUCUUUACGGGAGCCUGUGUGCAAGAAUUACUCAUCAGGAAGAAAAAGGGAGACUUUCCCUGGCGCCCACGCCGUGCCGGAGGCAGCACAGCAAAUGCAGCCGUCACUCGCCCUGGGAGCGGGAGGCUCGGCAGGGUUAAAUGCGGGCUGGGGUGUGCGGCUGAGCCAGAGCCAGGCCACGAAGGGAAAGUUUCCAAGAGUGCUCAGGGCACCUAAAGCUACAUCAUUAUUUAUAAAUUAAAUCACUCAGUUCAGGUCAAGAGCUCUCAGAAGAAAUAUGGUCUCCCUUCUAUAAAUAUGCCAUUAUUUGAUAGUUCAGUGAUUUAAUUUGACAUCUUACCAGCAAUGAUAAAUAGUUAUAUUUCCAGAGUUUAAGAUGUUAGAUAGGUUCUUAUGAAGUAGCUUGUUCUAAACAUGCAGCUGAUUGAGAGAUAAUAUUCAUGCUUCCUUUCUAAAGCUAUAUGCAACCUGAGAUUACUAUCAGAUUUUCAGUGCUGACAGCCACAGGCACUGACUAGGUUCGUUUAAUUCCUAACAAGUGCUGCAAGUGCUGGUGAAGUAGCUGUGUCUCAUCUACCCUCCUACCUCCUCAUUCUCUGUGUUUAGAAGAAAAACAAUGGCAACUAAACCACUAGGUAGAUGAAGCUCCCUUAUCUUGAAGAUUGAACACCACACAGUUUCCUAGCAUGAGUCUCAUUGCUGUCUGAUGCAACCAUCUGUUUUUUUCCCAGACAGGUUAUCAGUGUUACAGGCAGAAUGAACAUUAACUAAUCUGUUUGUGCCCACCUGAACUGAGAGCUUGCUGGAAGCCUGCCCCGGUACAGUAUGCCUCGAUCACCUUCAAGAUCUGAGCAUCUUCUUCCAAUGCAGCAGUACCUGUAAGACAUUGCAGACAACAGCUGCCACAAAAAGCCAGGUGCUCUGGAUUCUUCUCUCCCAGCCUUCCUGUUAAGGGACUUCAGAGCAAGAGAGCAUUGUUUCCUCGACUGACAGUCUUGGGGACUUUCCCUAAUCCCUUUUCGAAUUCCCUUACAUUUUCUGGCCUUUGCAACAUCCUGUGACAUCAAGCACUAUGACUAAAUGGUAUGAAAAAGCCCUUCUAGGGCUCACCUUAGCAAAAUUUGGGGGAUGAUGCCUGACUUUGGGUGCCAGCAGCACAGGGAGAUGGGCAGGCAGAACAGCCUUCCUGGGAGGGCUUCCCAGAGGAGGACAGUGCCCUGGGGAUGUUUGGUACAGCCACAACACAAUAGGACUCUGAAAGGUGAAGUCUUCAUUCCUAACCCUAGUUCAGUGCUAAUUUCAAGUAACCUCAAGGUCAUACUGCAGCAGCGUACCACUGGCCUUUCACCCCUCCCUCUCCCAAGGAAUACCCCAGACUGGCUUCAGGUAGCAGUCAGGACAUCUUUCUUUGCAGGUGAACACCUCUGCAAGAACAGGGCCUCAUUUUUAUUCUCUUGUGCCCUGUGGAAAUGGCUCCAGGACCUGACAGCAUGGACGGCCACAAGACCACCCAGAGCCACGUGAUCUCACAGUAAGAAUCAUGAUGAGGACAGUCACAGCUCGGAGGGGAUCUGUAAGUGCCUGGGAAAGGCUGCACGUGCAGGAGCCUCCCAUGCUCAGCAGCACGUAGGCUUGCUCAUGUGCCACAUUCAGCGCCAUAAGAAAGGUUGCUCUCAAAGCCCCGUGGAGAUUACUGAGCACAAAGAAACCACAGAAAAGAAGAGAAAAAUUCAACACUUACUUUUCCUAAUAACAAACUCUUCAUCUGAUGCUUUUCUCUCAGUUUUCCUUUUUGGAAGAAACUUCUUCAUGGUUUUUGGACUUUUGCUGGAGUCCUAUAGAGAAACAGACUCUUGUAUUUGACCAGAACCAAAGGCAGCUCAAACAAUGGAGCAGCUCAGGUUGAAUGUGGCUGUCUGUGUUAUGCACAACACAUUAGAGAACUACAAAGCAGACAACGGCAAAGCUGGAGAACAUUAUGCUUUUUGCCUUUCCCAUGCACUAGUCCUUUAGCCACUGCUCCCUCUAACAGCGGUGGGAAUUGCACCUGCAGGUCCAGGGCAGGACACACUCCUUUAGCAAAUAUCCCUCAGCUAAUAUCCUUUGGCCAAAGAAUUCCAACAUAUUCACAGCACUUCGGGUCUUUGUUAGAAAACCUAAAAUACUGUUUAU